RNAcentral lists this ribosomal RNA (801 nucleotides) under uncultured bacterium. RNAcentral's name for it is "bacterial SSU rRNA". It matches the Rfam family "Bacterial small subunit ribosomal RNA", at positions 8 to 796 of the family's 1533-position model. The record is from RNAcentral.
AGAGUUUGAUCCUGGCUCAGGACGAACGCUGACGGUGUGCUUUAGGCAUGCAAGUCGAACGAGAAAGCCCUUUGGGGUGAGUAAAGUGGCGAACGGGUGAGUAACACGUGGGCAACCUGCCCCUCGCAGGGGGACAACCGGAGGAAACUCCGGCUAAUACCCCGUACGCUUGCUGGAUCGCAUGGUCCGGCAAGGAAAGGUAGCUUCGGCCAUCCGGCGAGGGAUGGGCCCGCGUUGCAUUAGCUAGUUGGUGGGGUAACGGCCUACCAAGGCGACGAUGCGUAGCUGGUCUGAGAGGAUGAUCAGCCACACUGGGACUGAGACACGGCCCAGACUCCUACGGGAGGCAGCAGCCAGGAAUCUUGGGCAAUGGGCGAAAGCCUGACCCAGCAACACCGUGUGGGCGAUGAAGGCCUUAGGGUCGUAAAGCCCUGUUGAUAGGGACGAAGGGCGAAGGGUUAAUAGCCCCUAGCUUGACGGUACCUUUCGAGGAAGCCCCGGCUAACUACGUGCCAGCAGCCGCGGUAAUACGUAGGGGGCGAGCGUUGUCCGGAAUUAUUGGGCGUAAAGAGCGUGUAGGCGGUUCGGUAAGUCUGCUGUGAAAUCCUGGGGCUCAACCCUGGGCGUGCAGCGGAUACUGCCGGGCUAGAGGGUGGUAGAGGCGAGUGGAAUUCCGAGUGUAGCGGUGAAAUGCGCAGAUAUUCGGAGGAACACCAGUAGCGAAGGCGGCUCGCUGGGCCACACCUGACGCUGAGACGCGAAAGCGUGGGGAGCGAACAGGAUUAGAUACCCUAGUAGUCC